CUCGUAGAGACAAGAAAGUUACUGUAAUCUGUCAGGUAAUUUUCUUAUCUCUCGAAGU
Molecule: microRNA precursor, 58 nt
Organism: Monodelphis domestica (gray short-tailed opossum)
Lineage: Eukaryota; Metazoa; Chordata; Mammalia; Didelphimorphia; Didelphidae
Product: mdo-mir-7398u
Source: Ensembl